RNAcentral lists this transfer RNA (73 nucleotides) under Ixodes scapularis (black-legged tick). Its description in RNAcentral is "tRNA-Ser". Lineage: Eukaryota; Metazoa; Arthropoda; Arachnida; Ixodida; Ixodidae. The record is from RNAcentral.
UCCCGGUUAGCUCGGUUGGUAGAGCGCUCCAACGGAAAUAGGGAGGUUCCUGGUUCGAUACCAGGAUCAGGCG